AUUGAACGCUGGCGGCAGGCUUAACACAUGCAAGUCGAGCGGUAACAGAGAGAAGCUUGCUUCUCUGCUGACGAGCGGCGGACGGGUGAGUAAUGCCUAGGAAUCUGCCUAGUAGUGGGGGAUAACUUGCCGAAAGGUAAGCUAAUACCGCAUACGUCCUACGGGAGAAAGGAGGGGACCUUCGGGCCUUUCGCUAUCAGAUGAGCCUAGGUCGGAUUAGUUAGUUGGUGAGGUAAUGGCUCACCAAGACCGCGAUCCGUAACUGGUCUGAGAGGAUGAUCAGUCACACGGGAACUGAGACACGGUCCAGACUCCUACGGGAGGCAGCAGUGGGGAAUAUUGGACAAUGGGGGGAACCCUGAUCCAGCCAUGCCGCGUGUGUGAAGAAGGUCUUAGGAUUGUAAAGCACUUUAAGUUGGGAGGAAGAGCAGUUAACUAAUAUUUGACUGUUUUGACGUUACCGACAGAAUAAGCACCGGCUAACUUCGUGCCAGCAGCCGCAGUAA
Molecule: ribosomal RNA, 506 nt
Filed under: uncultured bacterium
Lineage: Bacteria
Description: partial 16S ribosomal RNA
Rfam family: Bacterial small subunit ribosomal RNA
Source: RNAcentral